UGCGGCGCGCGGCGGCGGCUCCCGGGCGUCCCGGGCCCGGUGGCGGCGCGGCUGUGGUUGGCUGAGCGCCGCGGGCCGCCCCCCGCCCGCCCCCUCCCCUGCUCCCCUCCCCCGCCUCCCGCGGCGGCUGGCGUCGGGAAAGUACAGUAAAAAGUCCGAGGGCAGCCGCCGGGCGCAGGAUGGGAUCCGGCUCCUCCAGCUACCGGCCCAAGGCCAUCUACCUGGACAUCGAUGGACGCAUUCAGAAGACAUACGGCGAGCGCCUUGCAGAGUCUCACGGUGGCACUGUCUUCUCUUUUGCAGCACUCCCUACAAAGUGAGACCUGUGGCCAUCAAGCAACUCUCUGAGAGAGAAGAAUUAAUCCAGAGCGUGCUGGCGCAGGUUGCAGAGCAGUUCUCAAGAGCAUUCAAAAUCAAUGAACUGAAAGCUGAAGUUGCAAAUCACUUGGCUGUCCUAGAGAAACGCGUGGAAUUGGAAGGACUAAAAGUGGUGGAGAUUGAGAAAUGCAAGAGUGACAUUAAGAAGAUGAGGGAGGAGCUGGCGGCCAGAAGCAGCAGGACCAACUGCCCCUGUAAGUACAGUUUUUUGGAUAACCACAAGAAGUUGACUCCUCGACGCGAUGUUCCCACUUACCCCAAGUACCUGCUCUCUCCAGAGACCAUCGAGGCCCUGCGGAAGCCGACCUUUGACGUCUGGCUUUGGGAGCCCAAUGAG
This 715-nucleotide small RNA is filed under the name Pan troglodytes (chimpanzee). RNAcentral describes it as "processed transcript". Lineage: Eukaryota; Metazoa; Chordata; Mammalia; Primates; Hominidae. The record is from RNAcentral.